UCUUUUAAAGGGAAACAGUCCCCCAUUGGCUUUAGGCGCCAAUUCUCCUGGUGCAAAUCCAAGUAAAAGAA
RNAcentral lists this transfer RNA (71 nucleotides) under Anilios australis (Southern blind snake). RNAcentral's name for it is "transfer RNA-Leu". The record is from RNAcentral. Lineage: Eukaryota; Metazoa; Chordata; Lepidosauria; Squamata; Typhlopidae.